AUACGAACCGGACAAACGUUAUUCGGAAUCAUUGGGCUUAAAGGGUGCGUAGGCGGCUUAGUAGGUGGGGUGUGAAAUCCCUCGGCUCAACCGAGGAACUGCUCCCCAAACCACUAGGCUAGAGGGAGACAGAGGUAAGCGGAACUGAUGGUGGAGCGGUGAAAUGCGUUGAUAUCAUCAGGAACACCAGUGGCGAAAGCGGCUUACUGGGUCUCUUCUGACGCUGAGGCACGAAAGCUAGGGUAGCGAGCGGGAUUAGAAACCCCAGUAGUCC
This 274-nucleotide ribosomal RNA is filed under the name uncultured bacterium. RNAcentral's name for it is "partial 16S ribosomal RNA". It matches the Rfam family "Bacterial small subunit ribosomal RNA", at positions 523 to 796 of the family's 1533-position model. The record is from RNAcentral.